Stagonospora sp. is the source of this 81-nucleotide transfer RNA. It matches the Rfam family "tRNA". From Rfam's summary of the family: Transfer RNA (tRNA) molecules are approximately 80 nucleotides in length. Their secondary structure includes four short double-helical elements and three loops (D, anti-codon, and T loops). NCBI's taxonomy places the organism in Eukaryota, Fungi, Ascomycota, Dothideomycetes, Pleosporales, Massarinaceae. The record is from Rfam.
GCCAGCUUGGCGCAGUGGUAACGCGUAGCACUUGUAUCUCACGACAUGCUAAGAUCACUCGUUCGAUUCGGGUAGUUGGCA